Molecule: ribosomal RNA, 275 nt
Filed under: uncultured prokaryote
Description: partial 16S ribosomal RNA
Rfam family: Bacterial small subunit ribosomal RNA
Source: RNAcentral
UACGUAGGGUGCGAGCGUUGUCCGGGAUUACUAGGCGUAAAGGGCAGGCAGGCGGAUCCAUAAGUUUAUCGUUUAAGGCGUCGGCUUAACCGGCGUAGGGCGGUAGAUACUGUGGAUCUGGAAUGCGGUUGGGGAAGACAGAAUUCCUGGUGUAGCGGUGGAAUGCGCAGAGAUCAGGAGGAAUACCGAAGGCGAAGGCAGUCUUCCAAGCCGUUAUUGACGCUCAACUGCGAAGGUGUGGGUAUCAAACAGGAUUAGAUACCCUGGUAGUCCCU